This 800-nucleotide ribosomal RNA is filed under the name Bacillus sp. CU26. RNAcentral describes it as "bacterial SSU rRNA". It matches the Rfam family "Bacterial small subunit ribosomal RNA", at positions 373 to 1166 of the family's 1533-position model. The record is from RNAcentral. Lineage: Bacteria; Bacillati; Bacillota; Bacilli; Caryophanales; Bacillaceae.
GGACGAAAGUCUGACGGAGCAACGCCGCGUGAGUGAUGAAGGUUUUCGGAUCGUAAAGCUCUGUUGUUAGGGAAGAACAAGUGCAAGAGUAACUGCUUGCACCUUGACGGUACCUAACCAGAAAGCCACGGCUAACUACGUGCCAGCAGCCGCGGUAAUACGUAGGUGGCAAGCGUUGUCCGGAAUUAUUGGGCGUAAAGGGCUCGCAGGCGGUUUCUUAAGUCUGAUGUGAAAGCCCCCGGCUCAACCGGGGAGGGUCAUUGGAAACUGGGAAACUUGAGUGCAGAAGAGGAGAGUGGAAUUCCACGUGUAGCGGUGAAAUGCGUAGAGAUGUGGAGGAACACCAGUGGCGAAGGCGACUCUCUGGUCUGUAACUGACGCUGAGGAGCGAAAGCGUGGGGAGCGAACAGGAUUAGAUACCCUGGUAGUCCACGCCGUAAACGAUGAGUGCUAAGUGUUAGGGGGUUUCCGCCCCUUAGUGCUGCAGCUAACGCAUUAAGCACUCCGCCUGGGGAGUACGGUCGCAAGACUGAAACUCAAAGGAAUUGACGGGGGCCCGCACAAGCGGUGGAGCAUGUGGUUUAAUUCGAAGCAACGCGAAGAACCUUACCAGGUCUUGACAUCCUCUGACAACCCUAGAGAUAGGGCUUUCCCUUCGGGGACAGAGUGACAGGUGGUGCAUGGUUGUCGUCAGCUCGUGUCGUGAGAUGUUGGGUUAAGUCCCGCAACGAGCGCAACCCUUGAUCUUAGUUGCCAGCAUUUAGUUGGGCACUCUAAGGUGACUGCCGGUGACAAACCGG